Molecule: long non-coding RNA, 3177 nt
Organism: Cavia porcellus (domestic guinea pig)
Lineage: Eukaryota; Metazoa; Chordata; Mammalia; Rodentia; Caviidae
Exons: 3
Source: RefSeq, a predicted model, not a curated record
GACCUCAGUGGCGCAGAGGAUCUUGCAGGGCAAGAUUUAAAUAGAGUCACGAUUCAGAGGACUGAUAUACAACAGUAUUUUCUCUGAAGUGUUCACUGCUCAGAAUUUGUCGAUUGAAAUGUCUGCAAAUCUACACAUGGUAUGAUUAUUAAUGGGAUAUGAAACAUCCCAGGAACUGGCAGAAGAUCUCUGCAAUGUUCUUGCCUUGAGCAUCCGCAUUCCCUUUGUCAUGACUGUCAUUUUGGUGAGUGUUUUUCCCUAAGAUAUUCAGUGAAGACUUGCUGGCAUCAUUCACCUGCAGUAUAAGAACUUUCUGUGAAAUUUCUCAGCAGAAAUCCUCUGCAAGCACAUAGCUUUGAAAAUGAGAGAGAGUGGCUGAAGUUGAAUUUCAAGAGCAGAUAUCCUAAAACAAUGAAACAAGCCCCAAGCACGAUCUUGACAUUUUUCGCAGAUCAACAUGUGUGGAAAUAUGGGGAAAGUUCGAUAUCAAGACUGAGAACAGAGCUCACCAACUUUCAAGGUAAUUCAGUCCUGCUUCUUCAAACCACGUCAAUGUUCCUCCCAUGUGAGAAAAUGAAAGCAAGAAAAAUAAAAUAAAAUAAAAUGCAUUAGAGUACAUUUCACAGCACACAAUUGCCCAGCAGGCAUGUGUGAACACUAUUCAAGAGCUCAGAGGUACAGAAGGCUCAACCUUCAGCCCAUGGCUUGAAACUUUGUUUCCACCAUGGCCACUCAGCUUCCUGGCAUGUCCCCAUUAACUCCUGAAUUUGUUCUCAUUCCUCAUCAAAUGAACAGGACGCAGUUUCCUUGGAACCUGUGCAACUGGGACAUAAUCAUCCCCUGACACACCCUAGGCAUGGCAGCCACACCCUUACUACGGGCUUGGAGCUCAUCCCAAGAGAAAUGGAGAACCUGGGCAAGGGGAGCCAAAACAAAGAGAGGCAUAUUCCUAAAGGCUGAGGCACUGAAGCUACCUAUAGACCAGUAGUGGGAUAUAACAAAUUAUGUGACAAUAUCUGUUCACAUGCUUGGCAUGUUGACUCAUGCCUGUAAUGCCAGCAAUCAGGAGGCUGAGGUGGAGCGAUCCUUGUGAGUUCGAGUCCUGCUUGGGCUAUGAAGUUUGCUGAAGGCCAGUAUCAACUACUUAGUGAGAUCCUGUUUCAAAAAAGACAACAAAAGAAAACAAGACUGUCUGGGCAUAGGUCAGGAGGAUCACUUCAUGAGUUGUGAAGACUAAAUAUUUCAUAAAAUGAGAAAAUAAGUGGGAUAUUAAGGGAAAGGGGAAUUUGGAUCCCAUUUCUAAGGGUUUCCCUUCUACCUGGAUACAUUUGAAAUUUGUGAAAACCUGCUGCUGAUGUACUCUCUAGGAUGAUGCUGGUUUAUGUGUUGAGCUAGUACCUUAUGUCUACUGUGCAAGGUUAUGCUUGAAUAGCUGCAGACCUCCAUGAAAUUGGGAUCUCAGGCAUGUGAACCACAAGGAAGCUGGACAGUUGAGCAGUCACUCAAAAUAUUCAUGCCCUCCAGAUUCUCCUUCACUUGGGGCCUCAUCCUCUGUUUUCUUGUCUUCAGUGCUAUGUGACACUAGCAAGGGAAGCAAUCUGGGAAAGACUGCAUCGAGUGUGUGCAGGUAUAUUUUCCAAGCCCUCAGAAAAUCUGCAGAACCCUACUCAUUGUGGCAUUUUCUUUCCUCACCCUGAAACAUUGUGCUCUAUAAGCUUUAAAGUUAAUAGACUGGGGCAGUCAAGUUUGAACCCCUUAGACCAUGGGAUAGAACGAAAAGUUUUCCAAUUACUUCCCUCCACUUCACAAAGCAUGUCCAAUUUGCUUGAUCAGUACAGCUAGAAAGAAAAUUCUGACCCAACCUAGAGAAGCUAAGGAAAGUACUGCUUUAUUGGAAUGGCUGUGGUUGUAUGAGGUGGAAAGCUACAGAGUUGAUCUAAAAUAGUUCACAGAAAGCAGCAGGCUUGUGGUUGCCAGGUAACCACACAGGGCUGUGAUUGGCUGAGCAGCUGUGUAAGGUACACUUCAGGCUCUAGGAACCAUGUCUGCAGUAGGAAACUUAAGGCUCAAUGCUGGGCGUUUCCAUGGAGACCUCAGUUGCACAGAGAAUCUUGUAGGGCAAGAUUUAAAUAGGAUGAAGAUUCAGAGGCCAGAUAUACAACAGAAUUUUCUCUGAGAAAUUCACUGUUCAUAAUUUGUCCACUGAAAGGCCUGAAAAUCUACACAUGGUGGUAUUAUCAAUUGGAUAUGAAAUAUCACAGGAACUGGUAGAUGAUCGCUUCAAUGUCCUUUCCUUGAGCAUCUGCUUUACCCUUGUCAUGACUCUCAUUUUAAUGAGUGCUGUUCCCUAUGAUCUUCAGUGAAGACUUGCUGGCAUCAUUCACCUGCAGUAUAAGAACUUUCUGUGAAAUUUCUCAGAAGAAAUCCUGUGCAAGCACAUAGCUUCGCAAAUUAGCGACAGUGGUUGAAGUUCAAUUUCAACAGCAGAUAUCCUAAAACAAUGAAACAAGCCCCGAACCAGAUCUUUGAAGAGUUCAAACAUUCAGGAAACCCUUCUUGCCUUGUCACAGGGUCAGAACAACCAGAUGUUCUGGCCUGAUAGGAAAGUUGUGGUCCAACGUCCCCAAAAAUAAGAGCACUGUGAACUAUCGACCCUGCCAGACAGGAUCUGAGUUUUCAAAAAACAUCAAGCCAUCUGCUUGUGUAACCAACGCUUGCUUUGUGGUGUUCGGCUUUAUGUACUCUUCACUUUCCUACCCGGGCACUCUCUCACUCCUCUCUCCCCACGGGAGUGUGGUCGGAUGGUCCCACGCUUGAGAGGACAAUAAAACCCCUUGUUUUUUCAUGAGAGCUGGCUCCUUGGGUCCUUCUUUGCAAUGGCGAUCUUACAUUUGGAGGCCCCCAGCGAGAUCUGUCCCCCCCCUCACCAAGGGAUGCCCCAAUGGCAACAAAGUAUCUCUCGGCAGGUGAACCUCUGUGGAAAUAUGGGCGAAGUUGGAGAUCAGGACUCAGAACAGAGCUCACCAACUUUCAAGGUAGCAAAGACCAAGGACAAACAUGGGAAAACAAGAGAACCAUUCAGUCUGACUUAAAAAUCUUUGAGGAUGAAAGGGAAAUUAUAUUCUCAUGAUGAUUUAUUCAGUCUGUUGAAGUAAAAUUCUCAUGUUUGUUUUCAAA